GAUGAACGCUGGCGGCGUGCCUAAUACAUGCAAGUCGAGCGAACAGACGAGGAGCUUGCUCCUCUGAUGUUAGCGGCGGACGGGUGAGUAACACGUGGAUAACCUACCUAUAAGACUGGGAUAACUUCGGGAAACCGGAGCUAAUACCGGAUAACAUGUUGAACCGCAUGGUUCAACAGUGAAAGACGGUCUUGCUGUCACUUAUAGAUGGAUCCGCGCCGCAUUAGCUAGUUGGUAAGGUAACGGCUUACCAAGGCAACGAUGCGUAGCCGACCUGAGAGGGUGAUCGGCCACACUGGAACUGAGACACGGUCCAGACUCCUACGGGAGGCAGCAGUAGGGAAUCUUCCGCAAUGGGCGAAAGCCUGACGGAGCAACGCCGCGUGAGUGAAGAAGGUCUUCGGAUCGUAAAACUCUGUUAUUAGGGAAGAACAAAUGUGUAAGUAACGAUGCACGUCUUGACGGGACCUAAUCAGAAAGCCACGGCUAACUACGU
Molecule: ribosomal RNA, 496 nt
Filed under: uncultured bacterium
Lineage: Bacteria
Description: partial 16S ribosomal RNA
Rfam family: Bacterial small subunit ribosomal RNA
Source: RNAcentral